GAUGAACGCUGGCGGCGUGCCUAAUACAUGCAAGUCGAGCGAACAGCCGCGGAUCUUGCUCCUCUGCCGUUAGCGGCCGCCGGGUGAGUAACACGUGGAUAACCUACCUAUCUGACUGGCUUAACUUCGUGACACCGGCGCUCAUACCGGAUAAUAUUUUGAACCGCAUGGUUCAAUCGUGUCUGACGGUUUUGCUGUCACUUUUAGAUCGUUCCGCGCCGCGUUAGCUGGUUGGUACGGUAACGGCUUACCACGGCAACGCUGCGUAGCCGACCUGAGAGGGGGAUCGGCAACACGGGAGCGGAGAAACGGACCAGAGACCGAAGGGAGGCAGCAGUAGGGAAUCUUCGGGAAGGGGCGAAAGCGUGAAGGAGAAAAGCGGCGUGAGUGAUGAAGGGCUACGGAGCGUAAAACACUGUGAUAAGAGAAGAACAAAUGUGUAAGGAACUAGGCGAGAAUGAAGGGUACCGAAGAAGAAAGCCACGGCUAACUACGU
RNAcentral lists this ribosomal RNA (496 nucleotides) under uncultured bacterium. RNAcentral describes it as "partial 16S ribosomal RNA". It matches the Rfam family "Bacterial small subunit ribosomal RNA", at positions 28 to 506 of the family's 1533-position model. The record is from RNAcentral.